AAUCAACGCUGGCGGCGCGCUUAACACAUGCAAGUCGAACGAGAAAGGGGAGCAAUCCCUGAGUACAGUGGCGUACGGGUGAGUAACACGUGGAUGAUCUAUCUCUUAGUGGGGAAUAAC
Molecule: ribosomal RNA, 120 nt
Filed under: uncultured bacterium
Lineage: Bacteria
Description: partial 16S ribosomal RNA
Rfam family: Bacterial small subunit ribosomal RNA
Source: RNAcentral